RNAcentral lists this long non-coding RNA (17072 nucleotides) under Cucumis sativus (cucumber). RNAcentral's name for it is "long non-coding RNA (CSAT_LNC000144)". The record is from RNAcentral. Lineage: Eukaryota; Viridiplantae; Streptophyta; Magnoliopsida; Cucurbitales; Cucurbitaceae.
AAGCUCUAAAGGUGUGUUUGGUCCAUGGGAUUGGUAUUUGAAUCCAAAUCCAUGUUUGAACACUUUGAAUAAACUUCCUAGGAUUGAGAAACCAAUCCCUUUUUUCUAUUGAAUGUCAUACAUUAUACAAAAAAAAAAUCACUUCAAUUACCUAUUAUCAAUGACAACCGAUUGUGAUUGAUUGACCAUGCAUGGCAUCUGAUUGUCUUAACCGUUGACUUUGGAUCAUCUUGAUCGUCGACUCUAGAUCAUCUUGAACGUCGCCUCCAGACCAUCUUGAUCAUCGAUCCUCUUGACUGUUGGUGAUCAAUCAUCUUGAUCGUUGGUGACCUACAACUUUGGACGUUAGUAUCGUAGAGUGAACAUCUUGAUUGUUGGCGAAUAAUGGUUAUCGUUAAUGAUCGAUCAUCGUACCUAUUAACAAUUGGCCGCAUUGAUGGUCAAUGACCAAUAGCCAUGACCCUUGGAGAUUGAUUGAGAGAGAAUACUAAAGAUCAAACUACAUCGCAUUAAAUCAACAUAAACAUUCAACUGAGAGAGAAUCAAAUAUUAGAAAUUAAACUACAUCGCAUAAAAUCAACACAAACACGAUAUAAACACAACAUUUAUAGUUUUCUUUUUAAGGUGAACAUCCCAUAAAAAUACUUUAUAUUGAUUUUAUCACAUAGCAACAGUAAAAACAAUGAAUGAAAGAAAGGAAAAAAGGAAAAAUUUAUUCCUUUUAUUCAUAGUCAUUCAUUUUUUUUUUUCCUUUUCUUUUUUAAAACUGUGAGGGUCAGUAUGUAAAGGUUUAGUCGUUUAUAAAACAAUAUUUUAAAGAAAAAAACAAAGAGGGGAAAAAAAGCUAUGGAAAUUUUAAAUGUCAAUUCAUCUACUACUUUGUUGGUUAAUAUGCUUUUUACCUGUUUAUUCCUUUAUGAUACAAAUGAUUGGCUAUAAAGGAUGUUCAAUAUAUAUCUAUAUUAAUUAUGGUCAUGGAUUAGGUAACUAAGUUCUAACACUUAACUUCAAAUUGAUUUAACUACCCUACAUAUGAUUUUUCUUAAGAUUCAUGUAAACUAUAUUUUAGUCACUUAUUCGCAAUCGAACAUGGUUGAAUAUCUAUUAAAACAUAAGUAUAUGCCAAGUGUUUAGGGAAUUGACUCACUACGCUAAUGAUUUUUCUUAGUUUGGUUCGGAUUAUUCAUUUUAAAUCUUAUGUAUAUCUUAUUAUAACUUCUUUUAUGAUUUAGGAAUAUUUGUGUCUUUCAUUGAAUCCACUUCUUAUAAAUAGGUGUUAACAUUUCUCACAUAUCAAUUAUUCAAUAAAAAUAUAUAUAAACGAUGCAUAUAGUAAAUGCGGAAUUUUGAAAAUGAUAAUACAACAUUGAAUAUUUUUCUCUCACUUGAGAUCUUAUUUUGGGCGAUUUUCCGACGAUUCUUGAGCGUCUUCUUCGGCGGAUUGCGAUCGGCAUCAAUUCCAUAACGUUUUGCUUAUGGAGCACUUUAGAAACCCACACCCUUGUUGAUUUUGUGGUGUGUUAAUUUUAUCUUUAUUCCGAGUUACUUUUUUGUACUAUUAUUUUCAUGGAAGGUUCGACGGAUCAAGAAAUAAUUUUGGAUGAGUGGAAGGCCCUCAGUCUCACUAACCCUAAGGAUGAAUCGAUGAUGGAAAUCAACAAGGGGGUUGCUGAUGAUUUUGUGGAAAAUUGGACAAGUUGUUGCCUUUUUGGUAAAUUGCUUUCGGGUCAGAGUCAUUAAUCGAGAGGUCACCCACAACUGCACGUUCCAUAUAGCAUGGCGUUUAGAUCGUUAGUUGGAGGUUGAAAGUCGACCAUGUUUGCCAAGGCAUCACUUGACAUAAAUAUCUCUUCUUUUCAUCUCACGAUAUAGUGCAGUAAACUUUCAAUGUCAUUUUUAAACCAACGUCAAAGUAAAAAUGACAUUAAAGACCUUUAAUAAUGCUAGCAUAGAUGUCGGUUUCCAACAGACACUAAAGGUCAUUAAUGUUGUUUUAAACCGACAUUAAAGGCUAGAUUUCUUCUAUUGCACUAGAAGAAAACCUGUCUACUAUGAUAGUUAUAAAUCUAAAAAAAUGAAUGAAAAAAAAAAAUUGUCACAAAAUAGAAAAUUUUGCGUUUUUGGCGGGAAAAGACGGAAUUUUUCGGAAAACACUUUUCGCGACAGUUAUUAAAUGUCAUAGAAUGUUAGGGUUAAAAAUUUUUUCUUUUUUCCUUUUCUUUUCUUUUUCCUUUUUCUUUCUUUUCCCUAUUUCCUUCUUCCUCCCCGUGCGUCCUUCCCCUUCUCCCCAGCCGCAACCGCCGCGCCUCUUCUCCUUCCUCCCGUACGCCGCGACGACCCCACCGUCUCCUUCUCCCUUCCCUUCCGUUUCCUUCCUGCCGCAGCCAGCCGUCUUUCUCUUCCGUUUUCUUCCCGCCGCAACCCAGCCGUAGCCCGCGAUCUGCCGUCUCCAUCUCCGGUUCGCGAAGCAACCUUGCAGCAGUCGUCCCGCGCGCCGAUCUUCCGUCUCCAUCGCCGGUUCUGUCUUCGUCGAAGCCCGAGCCGCCGUGUGAACCAGUAACUGCCACGUCCGCCGCUCACAACCGCCGUGAAGCCAGCCGCGCAACCUUCAUUCCAACCGCUGCACUGCCGCGCGAUUCUCCGGCCACGUCUUCUUUAGCCGACCGCUGACCGACCCACACUUAGGAUUUUGCUGCGAGUUCGACAGUCGUGCGUUGAGGUGUUGGGAGUAACCUUGGGCUCCCUUAAAUUCACAACCAAAUUGUGAAUUGUUGAGGGUUCAGUUCGCCAAUAUUAAGAAUUUGAUUCAUUGGAUUUAGUCGAUUGAAGAAUUUGCAUAGAAAUCGAGGUAAGGGAUUUUCUUUGUCGCUUUCUUCCCCAUUGUUUCAUUUUCUUCUGGCACCGAACAUCGGUGAGGCCCCAUCGUUCCGUUUUCUUUAGUCAUUGAAUGCCAGUGUGUAGCGCCCACCUCUAGGUGACGGAUUUUCAGCAGCCACCGUCGCCCUCUUCCAAUUUUGUUUUCGACAACCCUCUCUAUUCUAUGUUGCUGUUUCCAAUGGGGUUGUAUUAUCUUCUGGAGUAUACAUGUUAGAUUUGUUGUAGAUGUAGCCAUGGUUGCUUCCUCCUUCGUUGCUUAUUCUUAACUUGAUGUAACUUAUAGCCAUCUAAUUCGUUUCUUCUUCCUAUUUUUUCUCCUCUUCUAAUGGCAUCUUUCAUUCUCUACAUCCAACUUGCGCAACCGUGAUAUAUUCUCCAAGGUAAGUAUCUCUUUAAUGGACGUCAAAAGACUGCAUCUUGAAAAAUGAUUUCAUCCAAUAUAUAUUCAUAUGGGCUUUUUUAUUCCUUUGAAAGAAUGCCAUUCAUAUAUUACACAUCCUUAUACCUGAGUUUACAAGGUUGUUAUAGUACUUUCGCGUUUCAUGAGUGAAAAGAUAGAAUCAAGUUGCGGAAUUACGUUCAUUUUUAGAGCUCUUAAGUGAUUGAAGAUAGUUGAUGUAUAUUUAUUUUCUCAAAAGUCACAUUUUUUGCAAGUUUGGUUUACUUUGGAUUUAUUAAAGAUAAUACCAGUUCACUUAUUGAUUCCAUUCAUUCCCGAAAAAAUUCUUUAAAAAAAUUUAGUUUAACACCAAGAAUCGCUUUGAGGAUUUAUCUCCUUAAGGGUUGUCGGAACCAUAUACUGAACAUCUACAAUACGUUUGAUCAUAGUUAACUUUACAAUGAUCUAGUUGAUAGUCUUCCUAUUUGUUGAGCUUCUCUUUUAGAUUGAAGGAAAGGGAAAGACUUGGCUAGGUUGUGGCAAGCAAACUUCUUCGCUAUUAUGUGGAGAAAUUUAGAGGGGAGGCUAGGGAGUUAGAGAGUUUUUUUGGAAAAAAAAAAAAAGAGACGAGACUUUACAUUAAGAGAAUGAAAAAAAGACCAAUGUUCAAAGAAGUGAAAAAGAGCAACAUAGCACAAAAAAAGACAUAGGAACAUAAUGCAAAAAGUAAGCUAGAGAGGUGAUAAGGAUAAUUAGUAUAUUUUAGUUAAUUGGUUAAUUGUCUUAUUUUCCUGUAAGGCUAUAGAUAGCCAAUUUAGAGUGUAUUUGAACCUCUUGAAUAUCUUUCCAAUAUAGAACGUUGUUCUUGGAGAGCUUUUUCUCAUCUCUAAGGAAUGAGAUUUCUCUUGUUCCAGAAUGGAUUUGGCAUGGUACUCCAACCUGCUGCAUCAAGAGGUUUAAUUAUUCAGUUUGGGCAUUGAUCACUAGGACUUUUUGUAAUUGUGAUAAUGAUCUUGUUCUUUUUUAUUAGAUUGUUUUAUGUGAUUAGUCAUUGACUCCUUUUUAUGAGUAUUACGUCUUUUUUUUGUUUUUCUUAUUGCAAUUGAGAAUUUAGCCAUUGUGCUUACUCUUUAUGGAGUAUCUAAAGACAAGAAAUCGACACUCCAAUGCUAUGAAAAUUUUCCUAUAAGGUAACAUUUAUAGUCUCAUGUUCAUUUGGUAUGUUAUUUUAUUUGCUUACUUUGUAAUACUAUUCUAUUUUAGAGCUAUUUAGUCAAUUGAUUGUAAAUUCUGACUACAGCUGAUGAUAUGUGGGGAAGAUAUUCAUAGUUCAUCUUUAUUGGCGAUGAUUGCAUAAUACAAACUGUUUAACUCUAAGGAUUACAAAUUGUCGUACAUGUAUUGUCGUAGGCUGUUUUGUUCUAAGGACUAGGAACAACCCAAGAAGUUGUUCAAUUUGCAGUGGCCAUUUGGUUGGACGUUCUUCUUCUCCUUGAUCUCUUUCUCCUCUUCUUAGGAACUUCAUUUUCAUUAUCAGAUUUGAAGAGGGACCACCAUGAGUGGGGUAGUAAAAUGAAUAGAGAAUGGGAGAGUGAGCUGGGUAUGUUUUUGGUAUGUGUAUUCUAGAGAGAAAGAGUAGCAGUAUGUUUUUGUUUGCUGUGUUUGCCUAAUAUAGUCCUCAUGGUCUUCUCUUUUCAUUUCAUGGAAUCAAGUGUUGAAGUUCUUGUUUGUGUUCUGUAUUUUGUUGAGACGUUGAUUUAGUUAUUCAUUGACUGUACGUAUGUGUUAUGGAUUCUUUGUAGGUUCAACUGGAGUCGACAAGUUCAUGAGUUUUGUUUCAAAUAUCAUUUCCAGAAACGAACAUUCUCGAUUGGUCCAGUCAAAUAUAUUCGAAUGCUAUUUAAGAUAUUUUUUGAUUAAGGGUUAGUAUUUCGUACAUGUGGAUUACUGAAACUUGUAUUAAGAUGUACAAAUAUUAUAAAUCGUAUUAUAGUGUAUAUAUAUUAAAGUGUUGGCUAUUUUCUUGUACAUUGGUGUGAAACUUGUAUAAUUUCAAAUUUGUCAUUCUCAGCUACAUUAUUGUCAUUCUAAUGGUUCGUGUAAUGGUGGAGCUGCAUGGAGAACAAGAUAAAACUAUAGGAAAUUGAGAAAUGUGAUAGUUAUUAGUUGUUGUAAAUUGGAGAACGAUGACAGUUAUUUAACAAAAUAAAUUGUCACGAUUGCUCUAUAUGUGACAGGAAUAACAUGUCGUCAAUAGGUAAACAAUGACAAUUAUUGCAAUAUAUUUGACUGCAAAAAAAUGUCGUCAAUAGCAAAACAAUGACAUUUAAUGUUAUCGAAAAACUGUCACGAUUGCACAAUCGUUGACUGGAAAAAAAUGUCGUCAAUACCUAAACAAUGACAUUUUUACAAAAAAAAAAGGUCGCGAAUAACAUAUUCAUGACAUAUAAUACAUGUCACAAUAAAUGAAUUCGUGACAUUUAUUUAACUGUCGUUAAUAAAGAAAUGAUGAUAGUUAUCGAAUGUCAUAAAAUAAUUUUAUGACAGUUAUUUGAAGUUGUUGAAUGUUGAUUAACGACAUUUAUUUUAUGUCAUAAAAUAACCUAUUGCGACAGUUUUCGAAAACUGUCGUCGAACGACUUUCCAUGACUCUCGCUUCUAUGACUGAAAAUAACUGUCGCGAAAUUCGUUGACGACAGUAAAUAACUGUCGUUGUAGACCACUUUUGUACUAGUGUUGCCUUAAAGAAUUCUAUACUUGAUAUCAAGUAGGAAACCUAGCUACAGGAGUACUCUUGAUAGAUUCACCUUUGUGGAUGUGGAAGUGAGGGCAGCUUCCUAUGGAAUCCUAAGCAAAUUUCUAGAAUGUUCACUUAAAUUGGGAUAUACGUGCAAGGCCUUAAAGCCUGAACAAUUUUAGAACUUCGCUCAAAUAAUGUUAUGUGUGCAAUUUUAUUAGAAGUAAAGUUCAAAACUACGAGUUACUUUAAAAUACUCUAAAAGAUUGUCCUUACGUAAAAGUUCAAGUCAUUAGAUACCUUUACUUAAGCACAAUAUUAUAAAGAUAGACAUUGCUCGAUGAAAAUGUUUUUAAAAAAAAUUAAGUCGGAGACUAAUAGUAAAAAAAUUUCAAGAGAGAGAUUGUUAAAUGAAAAUUUUGAGUUAGCAAAUAUUUAUUACUUUAUUCUAAACAUGCAUUUCCACAUUACUUAGAUAGCAAUGUAAAAGUCUCAUUUAUAAAAUCAUACAUUCAUUCAUGAGUUUGGGCUCUAAAAACAUCCAAGUUUUGGAAGGAGUGAGGAGAUAGGCAAAAGUAGGUUUGUCAAUAUCUCCACGCGAGCUGCCGCCUUCCGUGAGUCAGGCGUGGCGAGGAGAGGAGAGGAAUAAUAAUAUAAUAUAUAUUUUUGCUAAAACUAUUUCUUAUAUUAUAAACAUUUUUGUAAUUAGACUUUUCAAAAAAUGAAACCGUUUCAAAUUAAAUGGUAAUUAUUAAUCAACGAUUUUUCUUUUUUAACAUUAAUAUUAUGACCAUUGGAGUCUCUCUCUCUACUCACUGUAUAUGGGUCUCAUUCUUCUCUUCUCAUUACACAAUGAUUUCUCUCUCAAGUUCUCUCAUCUUUAGUACUCCAAGUAUUUAAAGUGUCUUUAAGUGUUGAGAUUCUGAUUAUUUUCAGUGCAAAACUCAUUGAAGAACACGGUUGUUUUAUCCUAAGAACGACGGGGUAGUAAAAAUUUGUUUGCACAAAAGAGGAGAGUCGCAAAACGUCUUCAAGAAAGCGAGAUUCGUGACUCAGCCAUUUUCUAAUAUGUUUGCAUUUUGCAGUAGCCAUUUUGACCAGGUGAAUUGAUCGUUUGACGAGUUGAUUAGUUGGCGUUCUUAUCAGUACGCGAGUUAAUCAUUUGACGAGUUGAUCGAUUGACAACUUACUCAUUACGCAAGCUGCCUAUAGAAGGCGUUCUAACCAGACGAAAUACUAACACAUUACACGAGAUACAAAGCAAGGAAGAACGCAUUCUGUCUAUGGAUUCUAACUAGGCAUUAAGGCUUCUCAAUGCAUCACUCCUUCUAGGCAAUUUGCAACAACACUUCUCAAUCCAUCAAGUCUUUACUGUUCAUUGUAGUUUAGGUUUGUGAUAAGUUCUUGAUAAGAAGCUUAGCUUAUAAAGCUUAUCGCGUUAGUUGAGCUAUAAUCAUUACUUGGUUAGUGUAUAUUGUCACUAGAAGAAAAACCCUCUACUAUGACAUUUAUUUAUAUCACAAAAUAGAGGGAGAAAAAAAAAUGUCACGAAAGGGAAAAAAAACGCGUUUUUGGCGGGAAAAGACUGAAAUUUUCGAAAAAUAUUUUUCGCGACAGUUAUUUGAUGUCAUAAAAUAGAAAUAAAAUAAUAAUAAAAUAAUAUAUUUAAUAUAAAAAAAAUAAUAACUUUUUUAGGGAUUUUUAACUUAUUCCCUUCUCCCCUUUCCCUUUUGCCUCCCCUUUCUGCUUUCUCCCCUUUCUCCCCUUUCGCCUCUCAUUUCAGAUUUCUUCCCUUUCGCCUCCCAAUCUUCGAACUCCUUGAACUCCCUUCUCUAGACGACGACGAGGUCCAUCAUCGGCACUGCCCCCUCGUGGCCAUCUCUCCACUCCAACGCCGCUUGUACCUCUUCUACUACACGACGAACGGGCUACGACCACUCUUUGGAGUCUACCAUUGAAGCCUCCAAAUCUCGCCUUUCUCAGAUUCGUUCCACCUCUUAUCCUCAUUUCCAAAAGGCAAUUGUAAUUUCUUCAUCCCUUAUUAUUACUAUUGUUUUUUUCUUACCUCUCCUGUUGUUCUUUGUUUAGUUUCCAAUUAAGGAUGAAUGUUAGUUUAGGUCUCUAAGAGAAAGGGUUGAAAGGUUUUGAAUCGUUACUCUCUGUACUUUUCUUUGAGUAAGUCAUCCUAAAAAAGAUAGUUUUAUAGCAUUUGAAUAAAGCUUUAGGCUAUUUGCUAGAUUGCGAAGUGGUUUCUGGAUACAAAACCCCAUGGUCGAAAUUUAAGAAGAAUCGAGUUCUUGCUCCUGCCGAUUUUUUCAAUUAAACUUGAAACUCAAUUCUCAACAUUGCAUCUAAGAUAUGUUCUUCACAAAUUUUUGUAUUUAUUCCUUAAUUUUUCUAGAUUUCUGGCUGCCACUAAGUAAAUGAAUAUUCUUUCUUUUGUGUUGCCCACCAAUUGUUUGAUGAAAUGCCCAUGGGAGGAAAUCUUGAUUAUUGAAUGUACAUAGGAGGAAAUCAUUUUAGAAUGUUAUUAUAGUGGAAUCCUGGUGAACUAGAUUUUAUUUUAAUGGUUCUAAUUUUAUUAGUUAACUUUCUUUUGAGGUAGGGGAUAAGACCCUUUGAAUAAAAUUUUGAUUAGUUAAAACAUAAUCAUAAUUCUUUAUGAUUAGUUAUCAUGUUUUUGCUUGGAGAAUAUUGACUUUUUGUUGAUACUUAAAUCAUGUUCUUAGUGAUGGUGCCAGUUCCUUCCCAUUUCCCUACUCCCUCUCUCUAGUGUGUGUGUUUGCUUUGAUCAAUUAAUGUGGUACAUAUCUGGUGGUAUUUUAUUUAGGUUUGUGAUUUUGGACUUUCACGCUUGAAGUCCUUUAUCAAACUCCUUUUAAAGGUAAAGUUUGUUGUAAACUCUUUUGAAAAACUUGUUUUAAUUAAUUAAAUUUAUGUUUCAAACUUUGAAUUUCUCCCUAUUAUAUAUGUAUAUAUGCUUGUAAAUUAAAUUUAAUUAGAUUGAUCGAACAAGAUUUAAAGACGUAUAAUUGGAUAUUUUGACCUUUUUAACGAUCAUUUGUUCUUCACAUGUGAGUAAAUAAUUGUUAAUUCCCCUCUAUUGUGAAACUCAUUUUAUGUUAUAAACAAAUUUAGAUGCUAAAUCAUUUGAGUUGAUAGUGAUCAUAAUAUAAUAUAUAAUUCUAAUUACAAUAUUGUUGUUGUUUGAUUAUUUUGUACAUAUAUGGUGUGAUACUUCAAAUCCUAAUUUAUUUUGAUCUUGUUAUAUAUAUACUCUUCUAAUUCAAAAGUUAAAUCAAUAUAUGUAUAUAUGUGUUAUGUAUUAAAAAUGUUAAAAACACGACACUUCUUUUGUCUAAACUUUAGCUUUCUUUAUAACUAACUAUUCAUUCUUUUUUGGGAACAUUUUGGAAAAUAUGGAAAAUUACAUAUUACUACAUGGUUGAUGGGUUUCAAAGCUGUACAAACCAAGGUGUAAAGUAGAAACACUCUAGUCCUACCAAAUUUAUAGCACACAGUUCUCAUGUCUUCCUUUCUUUCUUAUAUAAGCGACUUUUUUUUAGUUGUGCUUAUUUUUGUCUAAACAAUUUUGGUGAAAAGAAUAAAAAGAAUAACAGAGAAGAAGACAAUGCAACUCAUUCAGGCGGAUUGUGAUUUAGAAGAUAUAUGUCAUGUAUGAGUGUUCUAUCUCUUUUAUGCGUUGUUGAUUAAUUAAUUAGUCUGGCCACAUUUUUAGUUAGCUAGCUUUAGAUCUGUCUCUUUCCAAUAGAAUGGAAAAGAUCCAUUUGUAAAAGGUUAGAUUCACAGAUUUGACAUAAUUCUUUUCAAUUGAGAUCCUCUUUAUGGUUCUCCCCCAACAUGGAUCACUUAGCCGUGUCAAGCAUUGUUCCUGGUGGUUCAUUACCUAAUAUAUUUUUCCCAAAGAUGCAUGCCAAGAGCCAGAUUUUCUGUUAGUAUUAUUUUAUGAUCCCAAUAGUCUCUCUCUUGAGAAAUGAGAAUAUUGAUCUGGAAGUAUAAAUUCUAAUUGCCCAUAGUAUAGAGCCCAAUGUAUAUCACUUUUAUCGAGACUAGAUGUUGUCUUCCUAUUACCACUAUUUAUGACAAUGAAAGUUCUAAUGGACCAGUUGAGACAUAGGAUAUAAAUAAUGCAACUUUAUAGAUCACAGAGAAAAAUUAUUUCAUCUUAUAAGUUAUAUUAAGUUGAAGGUAGUGACUCUCUUAUCUUAACCUUUUUUAGCAAAGGAAAAAAAGGAAAGAAAAACCUAAAUCAAUAUCAUCAACCAUGAACCCCAUAAAGUCAUUUUACGUACACUGAAAAAGUUGCAUUCAAAAUGGCUUGGGUCUAAGUUGAAGAUAUUACAAAGAGCAAUUUCUAAAUUGGCAAUAUGGUCGUAAUGCAGCCACAAGCGAGUUGGAAUAUGCAUUUGUUGAGGUACUUUUUUUAGAUUAUUUUUUAUUCUUUCUAGUACUUCGGCAAAAUGCUCUUUAUUGUUUUGCAGUGCAAAAACUUAAUUGCUGAUGUUGGGGAUAUGAUGAGCGUCCAAGUGAUUGUUGAAGGAUCAAUGAAUAGUUCGAACCCCUACUUCUCAAGCUCUUGGUGGCGAGACUUCGCUGUAAGUGUUCUUCUAGUAAACAACCACAACACAAUUUUUAAAUAUUAUCUAUGCUGUUUUCAUUUUUCCCAUCAAACCAUGAUUCAUGACUGCCACUUUUACACUUUUUCAUGGAAGAAUAUGAUGUUUUUAUUAUAGAUGGAACUAUUGUAUAAUGGAAUGCCCAAUAACAAGACCUCUACAUUUAUAUCUAUGUUAUCUCUCUCUCUCUUUUUGUUCUUCUUAUCCCGAUGAUGUAUUCUUAAAUUUUAUCUUUCAUUGACAACAUAUGUCUAGUGUCAGGGGGGUUUCAUUCUGGAUAUGGGCGUACACUUCAUUGUUGGAUUACGGAUGGUAACUGCCUUUGAAACUUUUUUCCUGUGAGAAAAAUAUUUGAGUUCUAUCCUAAUGGCUAUCACUUGCCCACUGAUUAACCAUUACUGUUUCUGCUCUUCUUUAAGUCCAAAAUGUUUAUAAUCUCAAAAUUGACAAAACCUAUAAAACCAGUACAAGUCUCAAGUACAUAAGAUGAGGUGGUGAUGAAUUACAAGCGUGACUGUCGCAAAGGCUCUGAUUUGUGGAAGAAAAAAAAACCACCUUUAGUCAUGCAUGGCAUUUAUGUUCCCUCCCCGAUGGCACCAUCCUUGAUAUGAUAUUUUUAAUUUGGAAAUGCUAGUUUCUUGUAUUUGUAAACAACUUGUUGGAUGGGAGGUGGUAUCAGUUUCAGCGACUACCUCCUAUGUGGAUAAGUCUUUACCUCUGCCAGAUAACAUAUCCUCGCUCUUGGAAGUUUCAAUUGCUUACUGCUAAUUAAUGAGUCACCAACAAGUUUGAAAACCUAGAAAUUAAGAAGGAUGACAUUUUUCCCUCCUUUAGCCAACUGGAGAAUGGAUGUUCUGGUGUUUUCGUAAUGGUGUUUCUACUUGAUUUACAUCGUAAGCAGUUUUCUUUUUUCCAGGUUAAUCUUGUAAGAACUAAAGAAAACUUACCAAUAUCCGUUCUGCUUGCAAAGAUGAAAAUGUGAAGCUAUCUCCACCUCGACUUGUAUGUUAUUUCUACAUUGAGUUCAAUUGUAUAUAUUUUAGUGUUAUUGUGAAUUCGGUAUCCAAGAUGUAGAAUUCAGCUCUAGAACGUCAGGACACGAGUAGGCUGAAAAACUUUAUUAGCUUUUCCUAAGUAUGAUUACUCACAAUAACAUCUAAUUUUAAACUUAAAUGCAGAGAUGAGUCUUGAAGAAGUGAUAAGAUAUGUUGCAUCUGAUGAACUUAUUAAGGUAGUUUAUGCUUUAUUCAUUCAAAUUGUCUUUUCCAUCUAUAAGAGUUGUACUCUCUUGUCCUAUCAUGGAUGCUUAUAUUCAUGUUGUCUUUGUAGGUUCAACUGGAGUCGACAACUUCAUGAGUUUUCUUUCAAAGAACAUUUCCAAAGACGAACAUUCUCGGUUGGUCGUUUAUGCUUCUGCAGAAAAUCUUGUUAGAUGUAUUCUAAUGCUAUUUAAAAUAUUUUUUGAUUAAGGGCUAGGAUUCCGUACAUGUGGAUUGUUGAAACUUGUAUGGAGAUGUACAAACAUUAUAAAUUGUAUUAUAGUGUAUAUAUAUUAAAGUGUUGGCUAUUUUUUUCUACAUGGAUGUCAAUAUUAUAAAUUCAAAAUUGUCAUUCUCAGCUACAUUAUUGUCAUUCAAAUGGUUCGUGUAAUGGUGGAGCGGCAAGGACAACAGGAAAAAACUGUAGUAAAUUGAGAAAUGUGUAACAGGAAAUAAAUGACGUAAUAAAUGAAUUUGUGACAGUUAUUACUUGUUGUAAAUUGGAGAACGAUGACAGUUAUUUAACAAAAUAAAUUGUCACGAUUGCCCUAUAUGUGACAUGAAUAAAAUGUCGUCAAUAGAUAAACAAUGACAUUUUUUUUAAAAGAACUGUCACGAUUGCAAUAUAUUUGACUGCAAAAAAAUGUCGUCAAUAGCAAAACAAUGACAUUUUUAAAAAAAAAAACUGUUGCAACAUAUUCAUGACAAUUAAAAAAUGUCACAAUAAAUGAAAUUCGCGACAUUUAUUUAACCGUCGUUAAUACACAAAUGAUGAUAGUUAUUUGUUGUCAUAAAAUAAAAUAUGACAGUUAUUUGAAGUCGUUGAAUGUUGAUUAACGAUAUUUAUUUCAUGUCAUAAAAUAACCUAUUGCGACAGUUUUUAAAAACUGUCGUCGAAGGACUUUCCAUGACUCCCGCUUCUAUGACUGAAAAUAACUGUCGUGAAAUUUGUUUACGACAGUAAAUAACUGUCGUCGUAGACCACUUUUCUACUAGUGUGUCAACUACUCGAGAGAGCAAGUAGUAAAGAUGUGGUUAACGCACGCAAGGAGGAGUUUGGAGACAAACUCCAACUUGGCGAGAUAACUUCCAUCAUUUUUGUCCCAAAAGGCAAGCAAGUGAAGUAUUCGGCGCCGAGAGGUUGUAACCCAUAAAAGUGAAGUUUUAUAAGUUGUAUAAGUAAACCUUUCUAGAUAGAUCUCACUUAACCCAGUUUAGUCAUUUGCAUCUCGAGAGGCGAGUAAAUGUUGCCUUUAAAGUAGUAAAAGGUGUUCACCUUAAUCAUAAGUUAGUUAACUAAGCUCUAUCACAUCAAGGUUGCGUAAUUACGCAAUGAAGAGAGACAUACUGAGCAUCUCGCAUGCAAUGAUCGUGAUCAAUGACUCACCGCAUAUAAUUAGAUUUAAGCAUACACAACACUACAUAACCCUAAGUCCAAAUCAACAAGUAGGAUUUCAUGAUAAUCUUAGGCAAAAUCUACCCUAAGAUCUAACACAUAAUGCAUAAAAGGAUGCAAACCUUCAAAAUCUCGGGACUCAUUCAAUAGAUAUCGGGACAAUUUCAUCCAAAUCAUUCAUGUUCUUGACGAACCCAAGAGGUUGAAAUUAGGAAGAUUCAUCAAAUGAACCUAACCUAUAUGAAAUAAAAACACCAAAUAUGCAAAACAUCCAAGAGUGUAGGGCCACGGCAUCAAAUUUCAUAACAAACCCCAACAAAUGAAAACUUAAAUGCAGACCAAUGAACAAAAAGCGUUCAAAGUGGAAUACCUUCUACAAAUUGAAGCUCACGCGAAAGAAGUGAAUCUUAGUUAUUUUGAGAGCAAAGAGGUUGAUAACUAAGUGUGAAGAUGAAGGGGUUUGUAUUUUGAUAAUUGCCCAAUAGUUUCUAUUUUGAAUUUGAAACAAUUAUUAGUGACAAUCACUUCGGACUAUUUUCUAAACGUAAAACCCAAAGCACACCGUUUUGGACAAUUUCACGUAAAUAUGUUGAAAACUUAUAUAUAUUUGUAAAUUGAUUUAAAUUUGGGUACAUUUACCACACUUUUGCCUUAUUUGAGUUAUUUAUUUAUGCAAGAACCCUUUACACAUACCUCUCUUUGGAAGUCGAUACCGAACCAAUCACACCGUUUCUUGCAAAGUUACCCGUCGUUAAUCCCCGACUGAUUUCCUUGAAUUCAAUUGCAGAUUCCGAAUUUGUAUAUUGUGAAAUCACUGCUAGUCCAUGGAGUAGAAUAUCAUGAAGGAAGUCAAAGGGUAGUAGUGGAGGGAUGGUUCUGAGUCCCCAUUUUUCUCAAAACGCUACCAAGCCCUUCCACUCCGCCAUUUCGCUUCUUCCAUACUCUCAUACUUGAUCGCCACCUUUUUGUUCUUAUCUUCUUCAACAAUGUCUAUGUCUCUCCUUCAAUUCAUUGCCAUUUUGAUGCUUUUCGAUUCCCUCUGCUUCUCAUCUCGUCUCUCUACUGCUUCGCCGCUCAAUCACCAGUAUAAUGUCGGAGAUCCCGUUCCGUUAUUCGUCAACAAGGUCGGACCUUUGACCAACCCCAGGUAGUUCAUUCCAAUCCAUUUCCUUUACUAAUUUUACCUUCUUUCUUAUUAUUUGAUUUGUACCCAUCGUAAGCCUUGUGACUAUGAUGAAGUAGCGAUGUGAGAAAUUUGAACUGCCUUAAAAGUUAUUGUGUCCAUGAUUUCUUAACUAUGAUCAUAUCUGUGUAUAGGUUUAGAGUGGAUUGUACUACAGUUAGAUGAAACAUUGAAAUUGACACAAAUGUGGAAAAACUAUUCUUGUUCUUGUCCUGUCUUAUUGGGUAACUCUUGGAACUACAUUUUCGACAUAUUGCUCAUUUUUUUGGAAUCAAUAUGCACUGAGGAAAGCAGGGGAUUCCUCCCUGUGCCGCUGUGUCAAAUCCUUGUAGCUUUACCAAUCAGGUUUCUCGUUGGACUAGUUUCAAACAUUAAAAAUGUUGACUUUUUUAUUGGAGCAAGAAUGCCAUUUUAACUUAUUGGAGAACAAGUCCAGCCUUAUAUUGAAUUCGUUCUCUUUCUCUAUCUUUUUGUAUCUUGCUUCCGCUUCAGUCUUAUUGUUUACUUCAUUUCCAAUUUGCUUGCAGUGAGACAUACCAAUACUAUGAAUUACCGUUCUGCCGUCCAGGUUAGCCUUUCAAAGAAGCAUAAUUAGAAAAGCUUUCAUGUUUUAGUAGAUACUAGUGCUAUUUUAGAAUCACUUUUGUUGAAAUUUUUCUUUAUGGAAUAGUCCGUUUGAAGGUCUUCUCCUUAGCUUGCAGAUCCAGUAGUCCCAAAGAAAGCAACCUUGGGGGAGGUUUUAAAUGGGGAUCGGCUGAAUGGUGCCUUGCAUGUGAUAAAAUUUAGGGAAGAGAAACGAUGGGAAACUCUAUGUGAAAAGAAGCUAAAAGGUGCUGAAGUUUCAUUGUUCAGGGAUGCUGUCAGGGAUGAUUUUUACUUCCAACUGUAUUGUGAUGAUCUUCCAGUGUGGGGUUUUGUUGGCAAAAUUGAUGAACAGAGUUGGUCCCUAGACAAGCAGGGUCCAAAAUAUUAUCUCUUCACACAUAUUCAGUUUGACGUUUCCUUUAAUGAGAACCAAAUUGUUGAAGUUAGUGCAUUUAGUGAUCCAAAUCAUGUUGUUGAUAUAACAAAUGAUGUUGAACUCAAUGUCAAGUUCACUUAUUCUAUUGUUUGGAAUGAAACUUCGGCUCUGUAUGGAGAUAGAAUGAAUAAGUAUUCGAGGGCUUCACUACUGCCUAUCAGUCAGAGAAUUCACUGGUUUUCAUUCCUUAAUUCAAUUGCUAUUAUUGUGCUGUUGAUGGGAUUGCUUACUUUGCUUUUUAUGCGACGUCUCAAGAAUGAUUUGAGGAAGUAAUGUCUUGUAAAUAAAUUCUGCUCGAGUCUUUUAAAUUUUAAUAAAGCUUGCUCUGUAAAUUAUCUGACCUUCUUUUUUCCUUUUUGUGUGUGUGUGUGUGUUUAGGUGUUCUGGUGGUGAUGAAGAGGAUGAAAAAGAGGUUGUUUGGAAGUAUCUUCAUGGAGAUGUAUUUAGAUGUCCUCAAAAUUUACCCCUCUUUAGUGCCGUUUUGGGUGUCGGUACACAGCUUCUGACUAUGUAAGUUAAUUUGAACUAUUUCUUCUAUAAUCGAUCUUCAUUUUAAAAUAUUGAUAUGUCAACUGCAAUACUAGCAUUUUUAUUAUGCAUUCGGAUAACAGAAGAAUUGUGUCCAUGUAUUAUCCUCAUCGGCGGUACAAUUAAUUGCCAGAGUUUUACUGAAGCAACCUUGACCAUUGCAUUUUAAAAUACAACCAUCACUUACUUCCUAGGAAAGUGAUAGACCCCUCAUACUCAAGGUGUAUUCAUGUAGGGAUAAAAGUGGGAAGAAGAAAGAAUGAUUGAGAGUUAGUAAUUUUUACUGUAUGGACCCUUAGGAGCAUGCUUGUUACCGGCCAAGUAUUCUGUUAAUUUUUUCAGUAUUUGACUAUUUAGGUAUCUAGAAUGGUUGGGGGAGGGUAUUUUUUUGCUAAAUGAUUUUGGUGUAGAAUUCUCAAUAGAGAAGCAUGGAGAGACUGGGGAGCUCUCAAAUUCUUGCCCAAUAGUUGAUAAAUAAAAUUGUGGCCGAGGCCUUAACAAUUUUGGUACUAGAGCCAUUGUUUUUGGAAUGGUUGGUCAAGCUAGGGUGAUCGAACUGGAAGAAAAUUUGGUGGGAGUAAACAUAGGGAUGACCGAGAUAGAAGGUAGAGUAGAAGAAAAGUUCUUGCGAGUAGAAGAACGAAAGUUAGCAUUCGAAAGGAAGAUGGACACACAGUUUGCAGAAGCAGAAAUUCGAAGGAGAAUGGCAGAAUAGAAGAUUGAGGUAAAUCUGUCAAAAUUGAGUGAGGAUUUGUUGUUGAUACAAGGGAUGGGAGUGAUGGGAAGUGCAUCGAGAGGAUUUACAUCUAGUUAAAGAACUAUCACAAACAAGGGAAAAAAUAAUUAAUGAGGAACAAAUUCAGGAAGAAAAAAGUGAACAAAAAACUAACCUAGUUGUGGAUGAAGGAAUCAAAGUACCUUGUGCACCAAACCAUCGUGAGAUACCCCUCUUGGACAUGAGGUUAUGGAAAUUAGAGGUACCAAUAUUUAAAGGAUAAGAAGAAGAAAAUGUGGACAAAUGGCCACAUCACAUGGAACACUAUUUUGUGGUGAAU